UCGUAUUUGUAUCAAUUUUAUGUCCAUUUCUAUACGUUAAGUGUGAUGGAAAUGUAGGCGUCCGUCAAAUUUUAAUAUCAGAAAUUGUAAUUCAAUUAUUCUGUUUUCAAGGAACAUAAAGUAAUUCAAAAUGUGUUGCGUGUGUGAUUAUCUUUGCCGGAUGAUUAGUUUCGUCAUUUCGUUGCUGAUCACCAUAGCAUUAAUAUUCAUACUUCUAUGGGUCUUCAGAGUCAUAUAGUUAAACUUGUACUACUAUUAAGAAAAAGAUGACAGCUUUAAGAUAAAUGUGUCAGUAUGCGGGUAAAUUUACUAUAAGGUAAGAUUACCUGCGUAUUUACCAUGUUCUUGCGGUAAACUUAUCCGAAUACUGACACAUUGACUAUAAGUUCAUAAGCUGUUGUGCGGCAUGGACGUUUAGAGUAUGUCUUUUUAAAAUACUAUCGUAAGGUGAUACCUUCACUCUAACAUACUCUAAAUGCAAUCAUAAGGUAUCAUCUUACGAUGGUACCUGUAAAAGAGUUGAGCCACGAGUGUGAACUCGUGACUCAACAAAAAUGAUUAAUAGAACAUAUGAUAAAGGCCGACUAGUUACUUUUGAACCCGGUGAUGGACGAACUAUUGAUAGAUUUGUUCGUGAUACCCAAAGAAGUAAUUAUUUUAUUGCAAUUUCCACAACAUAGAGAGGAUUCAAAAGUAACAUAAUCUGCCUUUACAUAAUUUUAUAAUUUUGUAUACCGAAUGCAAUCCUAUGUGAGACAAAACAUUUUGUAUCCAUUUAUUGAAUUCAAUUUAAUUUAUUAAAAACAAUAUAUUUA
Hyposmocoma kahamanoa is the source of this 815-nucleotide long non-coding RNA. RefSeq lists it as uncharacterized. The transcript is spliced from 3 exons. The record is from RefSeq and is a predicted model, not a curated record. NCBI's taxonomy places the organism in Eukaryota, Metazoa, Arthropoda, Insecta, Lepidoptera, Cosmopterigidae.